RNAcentral lists this ribosomal RNA (433 nucleotides) under uncultured bacterium. RNAcentral describes it as "partial 16S ribosomal RNA". It matches the Rfam family "Bacterial small subunit ribosomal RNA", at positions 29 to 507 of the family's 1533-position model. The record is from RNAcentral.
AACGAACGCUGGCGGCAUGCCUAACACAUGCAAGUCGAACGAUGCUUUCGGGCAUAGUGGCGCACGGGUGCGUAACGCGUGGGAAUCUGCCCUUAGGUUCGGAAUAACAGUGAGAAAUUGCUGCUAAUACGGGAUGAUGUCUUCGGACCAAAGAUUUAUCGCCCGGGGAUGAGCCUGCGUAGGAUUAGCUAGUUGGUGAGGUAAUGGCCUACCAAGGCGACGAUCCUUAGCUGGUCUGAGAGGAUGAUCAGCGACACUGGGACUGAGACACGGCCCAGACUCCUACGAGAGGCAGCAGUGGUGAAUAUUGGACAAGGGGCGCAAGGCUGAUCCAGCAAGGCCGGGUGAGUGAUGAAGGCCUUAGGGUUGGAAAGCUGCUUUACCCGGGAUGAUAAUGACAGUACCGGGAGAAUAAGCUCCGGCUAACUCCGUG